GUAGCGGGUGAACAUGCGUAGAUAUUGGGCAGGCAACACCUGUGUCGAAGGCGCUCUCUGGACUAAUACUGACGCUGAGGACGCGAAAGCUAGGGGAGCAAACGGGAUUAGAUACCCCGGUAGUCCUAGCUGUAAACGAUGGGCACUAGGUGUGAGAGGUAUCGACCCCCCCCGUGCCGCAGCUAACGCAUUAAGUGCCCCGCCUGGGAAGUACGGCCACAAGGCUGAAACUCAAAGGAAUUGACGGGGGCCCGCACAAGCGGUGGAGCAUGUGGUUUAAUUCGACGCAACGCGAAGAACCUUACCAGGGCUUGACAUCCUGCGAAUCCCGGUGAAAGCCGGGAGUGCCCGCAAGGGAGCGCGGAGACAGGUGGUGCAUGGCUGUCGUCAGUUCGUGUCGUGAGAUGUUGGGUUAAGUCCCGCAACGAGCGCAACCCUCACCCUUUGUUGCCACCAGGUUAUGCUGGGCACUCUAAGGGAACUGCCUCGGUUAACGAGGAGGAAGGUGGGGACGACGUCAAGUCAUCAUGCCCCUUACGCUCUGGGCUACACACGUGCUACAAUGGCCAAUACAAAGGGCUGCAAACCCGCGAGGGCAAGCCAAUCCCAAAAAAUUGGUCUCAGUUCGGAUUGUAGGCUGCAACCCGCCUGCAUGAAGGAGGAAUCGCUAGUAAUCGUGGAUCAGCAUGCCACGGUGAAUACGUUCCCGGGCCUUGUACACACCGCCCGUCACACCACGAAAGUCUGUUGUACUCGAAGUCGUUGAGCCAACCCG
This 775-nucleotide ribosomal RNA is filed under the name uncultured bacterium. RNAcentral describes it as "bacterial SSU rRNA". It matches the Rfam family "Bacterial small subunit ribosomal RNA", at positions 675 to 1442 of the family's 1533-position model. The record is from RNAcentral.